CAGGCCAAUAUAAACACGACAAUCUUUCAAGUAAGGCGCAAAACAUGAAUCUUUUUACGAUCAUUUCCAAAUGCAACUUAGUAGAAAAUACAAAGAAAUGUGGAUGGAUGCUGGAGCUACUCAUCACAUAUGUGUAAAUGCCUAUAUACUUUCUAUCUACAAGGCGAUGAAUCCUGAUGAACAAUUCCAUAUAAAAAAACUCUUAAUCUUCCAAAGUUGAAGCAUAUGGAAGUUCAUGCUGAAAAUAACAAGUGGGUAGGAGCGGUAAAUAUGAUUCUCUAUCAAAAAAGUUUUGUUCAGAACUAGAAAAUUUUCAUCAAAUAUUUGCAUCUUAUUCUCCUCAAUCUAAUAGAAUUGUUAAACGCUAAAAUCUCAGAUUGAAUGAGAUGAUGAACGUUAUGUAGAUCAAUUUGAGAUUAUAGUAUGACUCAUGGGGGAAAACUAUCCUCUCUAUCAAUUAUAUUCUCAACAAAUUGUCACACAAAAAUGCACAAGAUAUCUUAUGAAUUAUGAAAAAUAUCACAAACCUAAUUAUAAAUACUUAAAAGUAUGAUGAUAUUUUGCCAAGGUAGAAAUUCCUAAACCUAGUUUAAGAUAUUACCUAAAUCAUUGAUUGUUUAUUCAUUAGUUAUGCCUAUCAUAGUAAUGCGUACACAAUUGUUUGUACAUAAGUCUAAAUUUUAGAUUUGCAUGUUAAUAGGAUUAUUGAAUCAAGUGAAGAAAUUUUUGAAAACUUUUUCCCUAUGAUAUGUAAAGUGAAUCAAAUUUAUUCAAUAUAUCCCAUGAUAAUGGAGAUAUUAUAGAUCAUUAAUCUAUAAAUGAUAAGUGUACCUCCAGAUGGCCAAAGAUCCCGAGACCUCUCACGUCCGAACAAGCCAUUUUCCUGCACACUAGGAUAAACCGUUAGACACACGUGACCUUCUUCGAUGGGUGUCGAGCCAACCACGCACACUCCGAUGGUCAAGUCGAUUGGAGAAGAUGUAUGCGAGUGUGGGAGGGCUUUUAACAUGAGCCUCUAAUAUAAAGAGGGUCGAAAUCGGGAGUAAAGAAUAUAGAGAGCAAAGUUAUAGUAUCAAAGUCUAAAUUUGCAUUACCUUUGGAAUGACAUCAAGUGUGAGCUUUUAUAAUGUGGGAUGAUGAAUAUGGACCGUCGGAUUGGAGGACACAUGGCUCUA
RNAcentral lists this long non-coding RNA (1175 nucleotides) under Olea europaea subsp. europaea. The record is from RNAcentral. Lineage: Eukaryota; Viridiplantae; Streptophyta; Magnoliopsida; Lamiales; Oleaceae.